This 2386-nucleotide long non-coding RNA is filed under the name Homo sapiens (human). RNAcentral describes it as "HSALNT0358719". The record is from RNAcentral. Lineage: Eukaryota; Metazoa; Chordata; Mammalia; Primates; Hominidae.
CCUAAGUGGAUGCGCCUGGCUUGAUGACAGACAGCACAGUGGCCAAAGGUUUGCAUACCAGCCAGUCACCCAUGCAUAGAUCUGGUGCUCAACCUAUAGCAGGACCCGGGAACAUUAAAUUUCCUGAGCCUGAAUUUCCUCCUCUGUAAAAUGCCAAUCAUAAUAAUAAUAGCAGCUGCUUCUUAGGAUUACUGUUCUGAUGACAUAAGUUCAUACCCAUAAAGUAGGUCACAAAGUGCCCGGCACAAAGCAAGCUCUUAAUAAAGCAAAGUAUCGACACUCCCAUUUGACAGAUGGGAAACAAAGUCUCAGCGAGGGGAAGGGACUUACCCACCAGAGGUAGUCAUUAAACUCAGUUUCAUCUGAGUGCAAAGCCAAGGCAUGCUCCUCUCUAGCCCCGCUCCACCGCCCAUGGACAGGGGUCAUGUUCAGACCUUCUCAGGCCCUGAAGCCCUCUCUUCAAGGGCUCAUAAUUGGAAAACCUUGACCACCCUCCUCCUGACCCAGCACACUUAUUAGCUAGUUGAACCCGGGUGAAUUGAAGUUGCCAAAGGCACCCUGUCUUCCAGGAAACAGGGCCAGCCAAGGCCACUCUGCUGACCUUGGUGGGUGUGACAGGUCCCUGGGUAAUCAAUCCCCUUUAUGACCAAGGCCACCAAUUUUCUCCCUCUUUGAUUCCCUCUCCUGAAGCCUGGUGCAUCCACUCAGCACCUGGUUAGGAAGCUAGGCCAAUUUUCCUCCCUUUUGAUUUCAUUCUGCUCCUGUCUGGCUGCCCAGCCACAUGGAGAGUUUGUCAAAUGGAAUUUCUGUCUCUUGCGGCCGCCCUGCCCUCUGCAGAGUGCUGAACGGGCAGGCAGGAUCACCCGGCUCAGUGCCGCAGACAUCACUCUCUUGUGAUAAGGGCCAGUGCGCACCCUUGAAGGAGGAGCCUGUCAUUCUUCACAGUCACCAGGCAGCUGGCGGGCCCUGACAUUCUCCAGCUUUCAUGGUGUUCCUGCAAUCCAAGUGCCGCUUAUCUCUCUACAGGUCCACCAGAUGACCGGCUGGCCUCCUAAUUGGGCUUCCUGCAUUCCUGCCUGUGCUCGGAGCUCCCUUCUCCACUUGCCUGCUGGAGGAGGUUUACAAACAAAAUCAGAUCAUGGCACUCCCCUGGGGCCCUGCAUCCUGUGGCCAGCAGGUCUUGGAAACGCCCCUGUACCCCAGAAACUUCCUGAUCAGUCCCUGGUCAGUGUAUAUCAUGCUUCCUGUGACAUGACAUCAACUUUUCAGUGACUUCCACUGGUUUUGGCCCAGCUCGAAGAGCCUGACACCUCUGCAGGGAAUUCUACCAGGGAGAAGAGAAAGUAGUCACUGCUUCCAGUUUUUUUAAGGAGUUGGCCAAGAGCCAGCACCAGGCAUCAGAGGAAGGCAGCUGACUGCACUCGGCCACAUCCCAAAAGUGCCUGGAAGGGGAGGGAGGAAGCAGGCGCUUCAGAAGGCACUACUGUGUGUCAGGACUCAUGCUAGGAACGCUGUAACAGGGAGCAGUGAUGGAGUCCUUGAGGGAGCUCAGGAGGGGGAAUUGCACUGAAGAUUUGUCCCAUCGUGAAGCAAGAGCACUGGAACUUACACUCCACCAUCAGGCCCUGUCACAGGAGAACAAAGAAGGAAGGCAGAGGAGAUCAUGCUCCGGCCAGCAGGGAAUCUCCAUUUUUUUCAGCCUCAUACCUUGGAAAGUACAAAGGAGUGAGAGCUGGGACUACCAGCCAGAGGGUUCAUGGAGGUAGUGGGAGGGGAAGAUGGGUUCUGCAUGGAGCCACUCCAGGGACUUUUCUUCUGUCUCACAGCCUGACAAUCACCUCUAGCUGUUCUCAGUCCCAUUCUCAUCAAUGACCUCGUCUCCUGAUUUUGUACAAUAUCUAGGUGACCUUCUCUUCUUUCCAUCUUCAAACGCUUGAUCAUUGAUGCUCCCUUUUCUCUUCUCUCUCCUCCUGGGAAAAGAGAAGGACCAACAUCCCCCUUUCCCUUCCUCCUGUGCUGUCCCGACCCCUCUGAGACCUGGCUCUAGCAGUAAGUCCCUCUCUCUUCUGCAGCACCAGCCUCUGCCCAUCCCUGCCCUCUGCACACAAAGCUCUCACAUUGUCUGCACUUUAAGAACUUUUGUGGCAAACCCUGGCAAAUCCUGCCACUUGUUUCCACUCUUCUCAAAUGGCUUUGAGGUCAUCAUUGACCUAUCCCAUUUGACCCUGUCCUGUAUCUGAUGUUGUACCCUUUCUCCUUGAUCCCACUCUGGCAACUCUCCCACUCCCCUUUCUUGGAUCAACUGUCUUGCUCCUCAGUCUUGAUCAAUGCCUCCUUCUCUCUCUUUAGCCUUGGCCCUUUUUGGCCAGGGAAAUAAAUGUGAAAU